Molecule: transfer RNA, 77 nt
Filed under: Candidatus Saccharimonadota bacterium
Lineage: Bacteria; Candidatus Saccharimonadota
Description: tRNA-Val
Rfam family: tRNA
About the family: Transfer RNA (tRNA) molecules are approximately 80 nucleotides in length. Their secondary structure includes four short double-helical elements and three loops (D, anti-codon, and T loops).
Source: RNAcentral
GGGCUCUUAGCUCAGUUGGCUAGAGUGCAUCCUUGACGUGGAUGAGGUCAGAGGUUCGAGUCCUCUAGAGCCCACCA